CAGCACUGGUACGCUUAAAGCCAGGCUCGUCAUCUGACCUGAGUCCCCUCACAUCACCCCUUCCUCCCAAAAGGGCUGGAAACUGAAAGGUCUGCUGAGCAAAGCGGCUGGACACCCACAGGAGAAGGGGCACUGACCUCCUGGUGCCUCCCCAUUUCAGACACGGAGGUGGCCAGAGACAGCACGAAAAAGCGUCUGCCUAAAGAGCCUCGUGGUCAGGACACUCCUCGGAGCCGCAGGGCAUUCCAAAUUAAAUCCAGCAGAGCUGUGACUGGAAAAGAUCUUUUAUUGCUCCAGGCUGACCCUGCUUCCCACCUGGCAGGGAUCAG
Long non-coding RNA from Oxyura jamaicensis (ruddy duck), 329 nucleotides. RefSeq lists it as uncharacterized. The record is from RefSeq and is a predicted model, not a curated record. NCBI's taxonomy places the organism in Eukaryota, Metazoa, Chordata, Aves, Anseriformes, Anatidae. The transcript has 3 exons.